Molecule: ribosomal RNA, 540 nt
Filed under: Aquipseudomonas alcaligenes
Lineage: Bacteria; Pseudomonadati; Pseudomonadota; Gammaproteobacteria; Pseudomonadales; Pseudomonadaceae
Description: bacterial SSU rRNA
Rfam family: Bacterial small subunit ribosomal RNA
Source: RNAcentral
AGUCGAGCGAGAUCGAGUCGGAGCUUAGCUUCAUGAUUCAGCGGCGGACGGGUGAAUAAUGCCUAUUAAUCUGCCUGGUAGUGGGGGACAACGUUUCGAAAGGAACGCUAAUACCGCAUACGUCCUACGGGAGAAAGCAGGGGACCUUCGGGCCUUGCGCUAUCAUAUGAGCCUAGGUCGGAUUAGCUAGUACGAGAGGUAAUGGCUCACCUAGGCGACGAUCCGUAACUGGUCUGAAAGGAUGAUCAGUCACCCUGGAACUGAGACACGGGCCAGACUCCUACGGGAGGCAGCAGUGGGGAAUAUUGCACGAUGGGCGAAAGCCUGAUCCAGCCAUGCCGCGUGUGUGAAGAAGGUCUUCGGAUUGUAAAGCACUUUAAGUUGGGAGGAAGGGCAGUAAGUUAGUACCUUGCUGUUUUGACGUUACCGGCACAAUAAUCACCGGCUAACUUCGGGCCAGCAGCCGCGGUAAUACGAAUGGUGCAAGCGGUUUUCCCAAUUACUGUGUCGUAUAGAGCGCGCGACCUGGGUCCCCCCGUA